RNAcentral lists this transfer RNA (64 nucleotides) under Chaetoderma nitidulum. RNAcentral describes it as "tRNA-Ala". Lineage: Eukaryota; Metazoa; Mollusca; Caudofoveata; Chaetodermatida; Chaetodermatidae. The record is from RNAcentral.
GGAAAGAUAUUUUAAAAAAAAAAUAUAGUUUGCAUCUAUAAAAUAAGUCAGAGCUUUCUUCCCA